CGAACGGGUAGUGCAAACGAUUAGCGCAUCCUAACGUCUCCCAUUUAAAGCAAAGAAGCAAUUUCUUGAUUGUGUUGCCCGAGGAAUCAGGGAUUUUAGGUUUUCCUGAGAAAAAGGCAACAUGGACAAGCGAAUCUUUCUUUUGCUUAUUGUGCUGGUCGCCUUCUCUGUUGAAGCAAAAAA
Molecule: long non-coding RNA, 183 nt
Organism: Pocillopora damicornis (cauliflower coral)
Lineage: Eukaryota; Metazoa; Cnidaria; Anthozoa; Scleractinia; Pocilloporidae
Source: RefSeq, a predicted model, not a curated record